UGUUGCUUAGUGAAGGUGGUAAGUCUUGCAUAUCUUCCAAUUUAACCUCUGGGGCUAAACAUUCUGGCAAAGGUACAUGAGAAUGAUCAACUUAUUUGAUAUUGGUAUAGUUGCACAUAUGUACAGCGCUGUGGUUUGAAAGACUACUACUACAUGCUAUAUAGCUGAAGCCAUUUUCCUCUUUUUGUGAUCAUAGGAGUAUAUAUAUACAAUAUAUGUGUUUUUCGUUAAGAUUUAUGUUAACAACAGAAGGGUUAUCUGUUGGCCCCGAACUUUGUAAAAAGCAUUUUUGUCUCUGAUCCUACAUAACAUAAUUGCACAUAAUUUUAGAUGUUGGGUAAGGGUUGCGCAUGCUUUGAUAUACAGGCUUGCUGAUGCUGUCAUUUCUGUUAUUUUGCUUUUCUCCUUUGUUUCCCCUCCCGCAUAUAUAUUUACCUAUUUUAGAAGGGUUUUUUGUAAAAGUUAUAUUUGAAGUAUGAUAACCUGAUAUAUUUGGAAGAUUAUAAUUCUAUAGGCAUAGUAAUUUAUUUGACCCUCCAAUAACAUUUUAGCUUUCAAUUUGACUUUUUAUACCCGAGUAUGCUGUAAGCCUCCAAUUCUUACUUGGUUAUCUGACUAGAAAUUAAGACUAGAGAAUCGGGUGUCUUAGAUUUAAUUUGACUAAUGCAUUCUGUUCCUUGUUCUAAUGUGCAGGGGUGAUUUGAUCCCUCUUGUAGUUAAGUCCUUGAAGAAUCCUAGGUAUUGUAAAGAUACUCACUGAACAUUUAUAAUUUACCAUUAUGGUGGGGGAUUUUUACUGCAAACAAAGGGUCAAAAUUUAAAGAAGAUUGCAUGAAAACCAUAUGGCAACGAGUGGACUGUGAGAGAUCCUAUAAAAGUGUGAGAGACGGAUUCGUUUUUGUGAUAAGGCAAUAAAGAGAGUAGGUCCGAAGCCAGAAAAAGAAAAAAAAAUGACGAGUAAUUAUUUCACCUAUAUACUCAACUCAUUAAUGAUUAUUUUGAUGUAUAAUAUUUUAUAACUUUUUUUCCUUAUUUUAUCUGGAAGGAAGUCCAUUUUUUUUCCAGUCUUAAUCAGGGUCUAUGGCCCCUUGGUUAAAUGGGAAAUUUUCAUUUUUAGUCUCUCCUAAAUAUUAAUAUUGUAAAUUUAAGCCUUUUACCCCUUGGAUAAAUGGAAAAAUUAUAUUUUUGGCUGCUCCUAAAAUUUUUUAGCUUUAGCUCCCUCAUACAAAGUUCAUGGCUUCAUCCCUGUUCUGCAGAAUACUGUACAUGGAGUUUGUCUGAAAAUAGAACAGCAUAAUUAGGAAGUCAUUAUAUGCUUAAUGUGCUAGUAAUUUGUUGGUAAGUAAAUGAAGUUUCUGUUUAUUUGAACUUUGGUUUUACUUUAUGCUAAAUGUUGGUAGGGCAUAUACUAGUUGAUGUACAGGCUCGUGACUAGUAGCAUGCCCGCAUUUGUCUACAUGUAUUAUGUGCCUGUCAAUUAUUAUACAUGGUUUAAUCAAGCUCAUAACCAGUUGAUGUAAAAAAUUCAUUUGAUUAUGCUGUGCUGGGUGGAUCUUCUAAACUUGCUGCCAUUAUUGUUACAUAUCCAUUUCAGGUAUGCAUCCUUAUAAUUGGUGUGAAGUCUUUGUAUAACCUCAUUUUCUCUUCGUUGGCUAGUCAUGAUGCCUUAUGAGGUGUGCG
RNAcentral lists this long non-coding RNA (1680 nucleotides) under Gossypium barbadense (sea-island cotton). RNAcentral describes it as "long non-coding RNA (GBAR_LNC016712)". Lineage: Eukaryota; Viridiplantae; Streptophyta; Magnoliopsida; Malvales; Malvaceae. The record is from RNAcentral.